AAAAAUGAGAUAUUAUUACUUACAAUAAUAAUUACCUUAAAGGCAUUUUUA
This 51-nucleotide transfer RNA is filed under the name Metacrangonyx longipes. RNAcentral describes it as "transfer RNA Valine". The record is from RNAcentral. Lineage: Eukaryota; Metazoa; Arthropoda; Malacostraca; Amphipoda; Metacrangonyctidae.